UCCAUAGGGAUGUCAUUGCUUCAU
RNAcentral lists this non-coding RNA (24 nucleotides) under Arabidopsis thaliana (thale cress). The record is from RNAcentral. Lineage: Eukaryota; Viridiplantae; Streptophyta; Magnoliopsida; Brassicales; Brassicaceae.